This 222-nucleotide ribosomal RNA is filed under the name Triticum aestivum (bread wheat). RNAcentral's name for it is "partial small subunit ribosomal RNA". Lineage: Eukaryota; Viridiplantae; Streptophyta; Magnoliopsida; Poales; Poaceae. The record is from RNAcentral.
AUGCCUCUAGAAAGAUCCAAAGUAAUUCGAGCUGUAAUUGUACGUACAUGUAAAGAGUUCAAAUGCAAAGACAUUAUAAUAAUCCGCUAUGAUGAUAAUGCUGCGGUUAUAAUUGAUCAAAAAGAAAAUCCAAAAGGAACUCGAGUUUUUGGCGCGAUUGCCGAGGAAUUGAGAGAAUUGAAUUUUACCAAAAUAGUUUCAUUAGCUCCCGAAGUAUUAUAA